GAGGAGUAAGGGAGAGAGAGGGAGGAGAGAGAGUGCAAACAAUGUCAUUCUGUUCAGGAGGCAAUGCUGCAGUCAACUUUGCAGUGCCAUGAAAGCACCUCACCAGCAACCAAGAGGCUCAGAGUGAGUGCAGAGAAGUUUUCCUCCUCUCCACCUCGGGUGAGAUGCCGUCCGGGACUCAUCUGUAGGUCAUCAGUCUGUCGACGAGCUGCAGUGGUGAGCAGCACCAGGGCUGUACAGUUCAGUGCUUUGGAGAUGCUCAGGCAGCCAGAUUGAGACCAUAUUGUAGCAAGAGCAGGCUCAAACAACCAGUCCGGCUGUUGGUGGCGUGUUGGAACAUGCCUUGACUUGUUGUACUGCCUGAGUCAGGCAGAGAUACAGACAGCCACAGAGAGAGGAAGAGAGAGAGAAGAUGCUUGUGGUCAACAGUUUGCCAGUGUGAAGUGACCCACACAAAGAGAAAUCCCUGCUGCACCAUGGACAGACUCCUGUUGAUGUCAACAACAGAGUGCACUCCCUGGAGAAGAGUGUGGAUGGAGGAGCUCCACUGCUGCCUCGCUGCUUGAGCUUUUGGCUGUUGGCAUGGGACCACGCCACCCCCCAGGGGGUUUUAUUGCGAUGCCAUUGCCGUCCAACCACCAUGACCACCAGGAAGCUGGGCAUGAAACGUGUGAGUGUCCGUAGUGCCAGACUCACAGGUGGAAGUAUACAACAAAUACCAACCAGGCCCAAGAUCCGGCUCAGGAAAGGCAGGCUGUGGGGCAGGCAGGGAGGCAGGCGGAGGGACACGGCUGCUGUGGGUGUUUCUUUGGCAGUGUCUUAGCUGGUUGUUGUGAGGAGUGAGAACGAAGCAAUCAGCAAGUAUACUGCCGCAGAAAUUCUUCGCAAUAGAGGCCCAGGGAUCAGCGAUCACGAGAGGGAGGACAAGAUGCAUGUCAGCAUUGUAGCAAACAUGGAUCCCACUGCUACUGUAAGUUUUUACAUGUUUCCGGACAUUGAAAUUAACAAACAGCUGAGGACCUGAUAAAGAAUUAACUGAAGAUAGAUCACCUGAGUGCAUGGCCUUUUUGUUAACAGCCUCCACAAUAUUUAUGAUUGGAUCAAAGCAUCAAACGUCUUCACAAUGUGUUUUGUACUUUUGUGGUCCUCUGCUGCCAUCGUGUGAAUGAAAGCAACCUCCCAGCAUGCUUUUGGCCAUUUAACACUGCAGCAAUUUGUAAAA
Etheostoma spectabile (orangethroat darter) is the source of this 1222-nucleotide long non-coding RNA. RefSeq lists it as uncharacterized. The record is from RefSeq and is a predicted model, not a curated record. NCBI's taxonomy places the organism in Eukaryota, Metazoa, Chordata, Actinopteri, Perciformes, Percidae. The transcript has 4 exons.